UGUCGAGUGGAUGCGUGUGUGUGUGCGCCGCGACCUGACGCUGCCGACGCUGCGACGCCGAAGCUGACGACGCUCCUUAUGUCACUCGCGCUCCCCGACGCGCCCUGAUCCCUGUACCGGGGCCCCCCGUGGACACUGUGGCUGUUCUUUCUCGCUUCCGUCGCACGUCGCUCCGUUUCGCUGUCUGACGCACCGCUUCCUACCUCCCGCAGCCCUGUCGCGUAGCGAGCGCAAAGCUCUGCGAGGCUGCUGUGGGAACGGUGCUAUUUUCGUAGACUGCGUAAAAGUAGCCAGCCGACAGCGAGUCGCCUCUCCCUUCGUAUCGAGGGCGGGAGACGCGAGCACGUACUGUCUUUCGAAACUCUGGUGCGUUCUCCCGUGUUCUGAGGCAGAGCGGUCACCUGCUUUUUCAAACCGCUCAGCCCUGAGGCUGCGGACGAGAUUAAUGACUGUGUUUUCCUGCUGCGAGACUACGUGAGAAGCUACUCGACGUCAGGUGCUUCGAGAACUAGAACUUCUUCGUUCGCGGGUUUCACGCUUCUCGCUGGUGAACUCGACGCUCGUAUCCUGGGAAUGGGCUGCUUUUACGAGUUCGCCGUGGAUCUUGUGGACUGUGUCUGGAGGGAACCAUGAAUGUGUGCCGCGGCUGCCAGAACGCGCCCUAACCGUGGCGGAGUGAGCAGCGGGAUGGAGAAGGAGAGCGACGUGGAGCGCGGCGCCGACAAGUCCGCGGCGGCUCCGGGGUCCGGCCCCGCUGCCGCCGCCGCCGCCGCCGCCGCUGCCGCCGCCGCCGCCGCGGACGCGCCCAGCCUGCUCGACGCCGCCAGCC
Schistocerca gregaria is the source of this 829-nucleotide long non-coding RNA. RefSeq lists it as uncharacterized. The record is from RefSeq and is a predicted model, not a curated record. The transcript is spliced from 3 exons. Lineage: Eukaryota; Metazoa; Arthropoda; Insecta; Orthoptera; Acrididae.